UCCCUGCUGAAAGAGGUUUACAACCCGAAGGCCGUCAUCCCUCACGCGGCGUCGCUGCAUCAGGCUUUCGCCCAUUGUGCAAUAUUCCCCACUGCUGCCUCCCGUAGGAGUCUGGGCCGUGUCUCAGUCCCAGUGUGGCCGGUCGCCCUCUCAGGCCGGCUACCCGUCGUCGCCUUGGUAGGCCAUCACCCCACCAACAAGCUGAUAGGCCGCGGGCUCAUCCUUCACCGCCGGAGCUUUCAACCCCGCCCCAUGCGGGACAGAGUGUUAUCCGGUAUUAGACCCCGUUUCCAGGGCUUGUCCCAGAGUGAAGGGCAGAUUGCCCACGUGUUACUCACCCGUUCGCCACUAAUCCACCCCGAAAGGCUUCAUCGUUCGACUUGCAUGUGUUAAGCACGCCGCCAGCGUUCGUCCUGAGCCAGGAUCAAACUCUAAGGAG
Molecule: ribosomal RNA, 439 nt
Filed under: Streptomyces piomogenus
Lineage: Bacteria; Bacillati; Actinomycetota; Actinomycetes; Kitasatosporales; Streptomycetaceae
Description: partial 16S ribosomal RNA
Source: RNAcentral